RNAcentral lists this ribosomal RNA (302 nucleotides) under Acinetobacter baumannii. Its description in RNAcentral is "partial 16S ribosomal RNA". It matches the Rfam family "Bacterial small subunit ribosomal RNA", at positions 1240 to 1533 of the family's 1533-position model. The record is from RNAcentral. Lineage: Bacteria; Pseudomonadati; Pseudomonadota; Gammaproteobacteria; Moraxellales; Moraxellaceae.
CAAAGGGCAGCGAAACCGCGAGGUUAAGCCAAUCCCACAAAUCUGUUCUCAGUUCGGAUCGCAGUCUGCAACUCGACUGCGUGAAGCUGGAAUCGCUAGUAAUCGCGGAUCAGCAUGCCGCGGUGAAUACGUUCCCGGGCCUUGUACACACCGCCCGUCACACCACGAGAGUUUGUAACACCCGAAGUCGGUGCGGUAACCUUUAUGGAGCCAGCCGCCGAAGGUGGGACAGAUGAUUGGGGUGAAGUCGUAACAAGGUAGCCGUAUCGGAAGGUGCGGCUGGAUCACCUCCUUUCUAAGGA